This 492-nucleotide ribosomal RNA is filed under the name uncultured bacterium. Its description in RNAcentral is "partial 16S ribosomal RNA". It matches the Rfam family "Bacterial small subunit ribosomal RNA", at positions 29 to 507 of the family's 1533-position model. The record is from RNAcentral.
AGUGAACGCUGGCGGUAGGCCUAACACAUGCAAGUCGAACGGCAGCACAGUAAGAGCUUGCUCUUACGGGUGGCGAGUGGCGGACGGGUGAGGAAUACAUCGGAAUCUACUUUUUCGGGGGGGAUAACGUAGGGAAACUUACGCUAAUACCGCAUACGCCCUACGGGUGAAAGCAGGGGAUCUUCGGACCUUGCGCGAUUGAAUGAGCCGAUGUGGGAUUAGCUAGUUGGCGGGGUAAAGGCCCACCAAGUCGACGAUCCGUAGCUGGUCUGAGAGGAUGAUCAGCCACACUAGAACUGAGACACGGUCCAGACUCCUACGGGAGGCAGCAGUGGGGAAUAUUGGACAAUGGGCGCAAACCUGAUCCAGCCAUCCCGCGUGGGUGAAGAAGGCCUUCGGGUUGUAAAGCCCUUUUGUUGGGAAAGAAAAGCAGCAGGUUAAUACCCCGCUGUUCUGACGGUACCCAAAGAAUAAGCACCGGCUAACUUCGUG